This 501-nucleotide ribosomal RNA is filed under the name uncultured bacterium. RNAcentral describes it as "partial 16S ribosomal RNA". It matches the Rfam family "Bacterial small subunit ribosomal RNA", at positions 29 to 523 of the family's 1533-position model. The record is from RNAcentral.
AUUGAACGCUGGCGGCAUGCCUUACACAUGCAAGUCGAACGGCAGCACGGGUGCUUGCACCUGGUGGCGAGUGGCGAACGGGUGAGUAAUACAUCGGAACGUACCUUAUCGUGGGGGAUAACGCAGCGAAAGCUGUGCUAAUACCGCAUACGCCCUGAGGGGGAAAGCGGGGGAUCGCAAGACCUCGCGCGAUUAGAGCGGCCGAUGACUGAUUAGCUUGGUGGUGGGGUAAAAGCCCACGAAGGCGACGAUAAGUAGCUGGUCUGAGAGGACGAUCAGCCACACUGGGACUGAGACACGGCCCAGACUCCUACGGGAGGCAGCAGUGGGGAAUUUUGGACAAUGGGGGCAACCCUGAUCCAGCAAUGCCGCGUGAGUGAAGAAGGCCUUCGGGUUGUAAAGCUCCUUUGUCAGGGAAGAAACACCGGCUCUAACACAGUCUGGGAAUGACGGUACCUGAAGAAUAAGCACCGGCUAACUACGUGCCAGCAGCCGCGGUAA